Non-coding RNA from Pelobates cultripes (western spadefoot toad), 250 nucleotides. The record is from the annotation of a GenBank genome assembly. Lineage: Eukaryota; Metazoa; Chordata; Amphibia; Anura; Pelobatidae.
AGGGUAGGGAUAGAGUAGGGUUAGGGUUAGGGCUGGGUUAGGAGCAGGGUUAGGAGUAGGGUUAUGGUAAGGUUAGGGGUAAGUUUAGGGGUGGGGUUAGGAAUAGGGUUAGGGUUACCCUACCCUACCCCUAACCCUACUCCAACCACUAACCCUUACCCUACCCCAACCACUAACCCUACCCUACCCUACCCUAUCCCCUAAGCCUACCCCAACCACUAACCCUACCCUACCCUAUCCCCUAACCCUA